This 467-nucleotide ribosomal RNA is filed under the name uncultured bacterium. Its description in RNAcentral is "partial 16S ribosomal RNA". It matches the Rfam family "Bacterial small subunit ribosomal RNA", at positions 28 to 507 of the family's 1533-position model. The record is from RNAcentral.
GAUGAACGCUGGCGGCGCGCCUAACACAUGCAAGUCGAACGAUUAAAGCACCUUCGGGUGUGUAUAAAGUGGCGAACGGCUGAGUAACACGUGGGCAACCUGCCCCUUUCAUUGGGAUAGCCACGGGAAACCGUGGAUAAUACCGAAUACUUCGAGACUUCCGCAUGGAAGACUCGAGAAAGCUCCGGCGGAGAGGGAUGGGCCCGCGGCCUGUUAGCUUGUUGGUGGGGUAACGGCCUACCAAGGCAAUGAUGGGUAGCUGGGUUGAGAGACCGACCAGCCAGAUUGGGACUGAGACACGGCCCAGACUCCUACGGGAGGCAGCAGUGGGGAAUCUUGCACAAUGGGCGAAAGCCUGAUGCAGCGACGCCGCGUGCGGGAUGAAGGCCUUCGCGUUGUAAACCGCUUUCAGCAGGGACGAGGCGAAAGUGACGGUACCUGCAGAAGAAGCCCCGGCUAACUACGUG